AUACGUAGGGUGCAAGCGUUAAUCGGAAUUACUGGGCGUAAAGCGUGUGUAGGCGGUUCGGAAAGAAAGAUGUGAAAUCCCAGGGGCUCAACCUUGGAACUGCUAUUUUUAACUGCCGAGCUAGAGUAUGUCAGAGGGGGGUAGAAUUCCACGUGUAGCAGUGAAAUGCGUAGAUAUGUGGAGGAAUACCGAUGGCGAAGGCAGCCCCCUGGGAUAAUACUGACGCUCAGACACGAAAGCGUGGGGAGC
Molecule: ribosomal RNA, 249 nt
Filed under: uncultured bacterium
Lineage: Bacteria
Description: partial 16S ribosomal RNA
Rfam family: Bacterial small subunit ribosomal RNA
Source: RNAcentral